CCCUUAGAUGUUCUGGGCCGCACGCGUGCUACACUGAGUGGAUCAGCGGGUCAGGUUGCGCGAAAGUGUUUCCUAAUCUUUAAAUCCGCUCGUGAUGGGGAUUGACGGUUGCAAUUUUCCGUCAUGAACGAGGAAUACCUUGUAAGCGCGGGUCAUCAUCCCGCGCUGAAUACGUCCCUGCCCUUUGUACACACCGCCCGUCGCUCCUACCGAUUGAGUGGUCCGGUGAGGCUUUGGGAUCUGAGCGGAAAGAGCGUUUCGCUGUUUUUGCCCGGAAAACUCAGUCGAACCUUAUCAUUUAGAGGAAGGAGAAGUCGUAACA
This 322-nucleotide ribosomal RNA is filed under the name uncultured eukaryote. Its description in RNAcentral is "partial 18S ribosomal RNA". It matches the Rfam family "Eukaryotic small subunit ribosomal RNA", at positions 1470 to 1796 of the family's 1831-position model. The record is from RNAcentral.